AUUUAUAUAGCUAAAUAAAUAGCGUUGCAUUGAAGCUGCAAAGGUGAUUUAAGUCUGUAAAUA
This 63-nucleotide transfer RNA is filed under the name Spongicola levigatus. RNAcentral's name for it is "tRNA-Phe". It matches the Rfam family "tRNA". From Rfam's summary of the family: Transfer RNA (tRNA) molecules are approximately 80 nucleotides in length. Their secondary structure includes four short double-helical elements and three loops (D, anti-codon, and T loops). Further hydrogen bonds mediate the characteristic L-shaped molecular structure. tRNAs have two regions of fundamental functional importance: the anti-codon, which is responsible for specific mRNA codon recognition, and the 3' end, to which the tRNAs corresponding amino acid is attached (by aminoacyl-tRNA synthetases). tRNAs cope with the degeneracy of the genetic code in two manners: having more than one tRNA (with a specific anti-codon) for a particular amino acid; and 'wobble' base-pairing, i.e. permitting non-standard base-pairing at the 3rd anti-codon position. Lineage: Eukaryota; Metazoa; Arthropoda; Malacostraca; Decapoda; Spongicolidae. The record is from RNAcentral.